Long non-coding RNA from Salvia splendens (bonfire salvia), 1040 nucleotides. RefSeq lists it as uncharacterized. The record is from RefSeq and is a predicted model, not a curated record. Lineage: Eukaryota; Viridiplantae; Streptophyta; Magnoliopsida; Lamiales; Lamiaceae. The transcript is spliced from 4 exons.
CGCUAGCUUGUCUCAAUGAGACGAGUCCGAGCAAACAACGCGCUCUUACGUGCCCGAAUUUUAAAAAAAUAAUAAAAUUCCCAAUAAAUGCAAAGGAGAAUUUCGCCAUGUCUAGCCGCCUCGCCGGAGAUACUCCCUUCUCAAAUCGCCCUCUCCGGUCAUCCUCCGACGCCCUCAGUAUUUCCUCCCCGCACAUUCUCCCGCUCUUCGCCGCAAAGUAUAUCCUCUCGCCGGAGCCAGCCGCCCGAGGACUCUGACUGGCCAGGGGUGCUCUGGGUUGGGGUGGGCUUCCACUUUAAUGAUUUCCAAGCCUUCGCUUUUGUGUUUCACUCGGUUUCUGAUUGCGCCUUGAAGCUGUUUGAUGAUUUGCUUAGAUGAUCGACUGUGAAAUUUGAGGGCGACACGAUCUUCAUUUGGAUGACUUUGAAAUCAAUAAGGUGAGAAGAGAUGGAGAAUUCACCAAGCACGCACAGAGAAAUGGCGCCUCCACAGGGCUGCGUUAGAAGAUGAAUGUCUUGAUGCCACUGGAGACCAGAGCUUCUGCUGCAGACGACCCCGCCUAUAACUGCUGCUCGCAGUGUUGCAGUGAUGAUAAAAGUUAGUCUUUCUGCAUCUAAUUGUUUGGGGCUUAAUGGUUUUGGACCUCAAUUUCUCAGUAACUUAUUCAAAAUACAAUGUGCUCGGAAUCACUGAGGAGAAUCAGAGAAUCGAGGGAAAAAAUAUCAUGUUAACCUGGAAGCAGAGGUCCAAGCUUAAUAGCACUUCAAAUCUUCUACUUCCAUGGUGAUCCUUUAAAGCGUGGAGAUCGAUGUGAGGAUCCCAUAUGAUAAUGAUUCCCAACCCAACUACUGCUUGUCAGCUCACUGUUAAUAGAUGAUAUUGGAGACAGCUUAUGCUUAUAAGGAGAGAUUCUGUCGUGGCCAUGUAUGCAGGAAUGAUAGGAGAACCUACAAAUAAAGUUUCAUCCCCUGUGGACCGCUGCUUCCUAUGAUGAUAUGGUUUUCUUGGGACAUAUGCAGGAGACUCUGGCACAUCUGCUU